GUGAAUCAUCAAAUCUUUGAACGCAAAUUGCGCUCUCUUCGGAGAGUAUGCCUGUUUAAGGGUCAGCCUAAAAAAAAUCAACACAGUUGCUGUUUCGCGGUGACAUUCGUCGGAAAUUGGGUCAUCUUAAACCUUUGGUUUUUAAGCGGCUAAAAAUUUUCUUUACGAUUCCACGAACGUUUCUAAUAUUUACUUCUUAUACGUUUAAGUUAUCAAUCUUUAUUAUACUGGGAC
This 234-nucleotide unclassified non-coding RNA is filed under the name Glomus sp. Its description in RNAcentral is "partial contains 5.8S ribosomal RNA and internal transcribed spacer 2". The stretch from base 1 to 65 matches the Rfam family "5.8S ribosomal RNA", at positions 84 to 154 of the family's 154-position model. Lineage: Eukaryota; Fungi; Glomeromycota; Glomeromycetes; Glomerales; Glomeraceae. The record is from RNAcentral.